CUGACAAUGUCCUCCGCCCGG
RNAcentral lists this non-coding RNA (21 nucleotides) under Arabidopsis thaliana (thale cress). Lineage: Eukaryota; Viridiplantae; Streptophyta; Magnoliopsida; Brassicales; Brassicaceae. The record is from RNAcentral.